This 368-nucleotide ribosomal RNA is filed under the name uncultured organism. Its description in RNAcentral is "bacterial SSU rRNA". It matches the Rfam family "Bacterial small subunit ribosomal RNA", at positions 526 to 896 of the family's 1533-position model. The record is from RNAcentral.
CGUAGGUGGCAAGCGUUGUCCGGAUUUAUUGGGUUUAAAGGGUGCGUAGGUGGCCCUGUAAGUCAGUGGUGAAAUAUCUCAGCUUAACUGAGAGGGUGCCAUUGAUACUGCAGGGCUUGAGUACAGAUGAGGUAGGCGGAAUUGACGGUGUAGCGGUGAAAUGCAUAGAUAUCGUCAAGAACACCGAUAGCGAAGGCAGCUUACCAAGCUGUAACUGACACUGAGGCACGAAAGUGUGGGGAUCAAACAGGAUUAGAUACCCUGGUAGUCCACACUGUAAACGUUGAUGACUCGAUGUUGGCGAUACACAGCCAGCGUCCAAGAGCAAUCGUCAAGUCAUCCACCUGGGGAGUACGCCGGCAACGGUG